This 445-nucleotide ribosomal RNA is filed under the name uncultured bacterium. RNAcentral describes it as "bacterial SSU rRNA". It matches the Rfam family "Bacterial small subunit ribosomal RNA", at positions 330 to 792 of the family's 1533-position model. The record is from RNAcentral.
UCCAGACUCCUACGGGAGGCAGCAGUGGGGAAUAUUGGGCAAUGGGCGCAAGCCUGACCCAGCAACGCCGCGUGAAGGAAGAAGGCUUUCGGGUUGUAAACUUCUUUUGUCAGGGAAGAAGAUGACGGUACCUGAGUAAGAAGCCCCGGCUAACUACGUGCCAGCAGCCGCGGUAAUACGUAGGGGGCAAGCGUUAUCCGGAUUUACUGGGUGUAAAGGGAGCGUAGACGGUGAGACAAGUCUGAAGUGAAAGCCCGGGGCUCAACCCCGGGACUGCUUUGGAAACUGCCUGACUGGAGUGCUGGAGAGGCAAGCGGAAUUCCUAGUGUAGCGGUGAAAUGCGUAGAUAUUAGGAGGAACACCAGUGGCGAAGGCGGCUUACUGGACUGUAAAUGACGCUGAGGCUCGAAAGCGUGGGGAGCAAACAGGAUUAGAUACCCUAGUA